RNAcentral lists this small RNA (81 nucleotides) under Algibacter luteus. RNAcentral describes it as "Arenitalea lutea Flavo-1 RNA". It matches the Rfam family "Flavo-1 RNA". Lineage: Bacteria; Pseudomonadati; Bacteroidota; Flavobacteriia; Flavobacteriales; Flavobacteriaceae. The record is from Rfam by way of RNAcentral.
GAUACGCCCGCGUUAGAGAUUGCAAUGAAAAUCCUUUUGUGAGACACGAGCAAAAGAUUGUAAUGAAAAGCCCGACCCGAC